RNAcentral lists this ribosomal RNA (496 nucleotides) under uncultured bacterium. RNAcentral describes it as "partial 16S ribosomal RNA". It matches the Rfam family "Bacterial small subunit ribosomal RNA", at positions 29 to 507 of the family's 1533-position model. The record is from RNAcentral.
AUGAACGCUGGCGGCGUGCCUAAUCCAUGCAAGUUGCGCGAACAGAUGAGGAGCUUGCUCCUCUGACGUUAGCGGCGGACGGGUGAGUAACACGUGGAUAACCUACCUAUAAGACUGGGAUAACUUCGGGAAACCGGAGCUAAUACCGGAUAAUAUAUUGAACCGCAUGGUUCAAUAGUGAAAGACGGUUUUGCUGUCACUUAUAGAUGGAUCCGCGCCGCAUUAGCUAGUUGGUAAGGUAACGGCUUACCAAGGCAACGAUGCGUAGCCGACCUGAGAGGGUGAUCGGCCACACUGGAACUGAGACACGGUCCAGACUCCUACGGGAGGCAGCAGUAGGGAAUCUUCCGCAAUGGGCGAAAGCCUGACGGAGCAACGCCGCGUGAGUGAUGAAGGUCUUCGGAUCGUAAAACUCUGUUAUUAGGGAAGAACAAAUGUGUAAGUAACUAUGCACGUCUUGACGGUACCUAAUCAGAAAGCCACGGCUAACUACGUG